Molecule: ribosomal RNA, 468 nt
Filed under: uncultured bacterium
Lineage: Bacteria
Description: partial 16S ribosomal RNA
Rfam family: Bacterial small subunit ribosomal RNA
Source: RNAcentral
GACGAACGCUGGCGGCGUGCUUAACACAUGCAAGUCGAACGGAAAGGCCCUGCUUUUGUGGGGUUCUCGAGUGGCGAACGGGUGAGUAACACGUGAGUAACCUGCCCUUGACUUUGGGAUAACUUUAGGAAACUCGGGCUCAUACCGGAUAGAAGCUCCUGCUGCAUGGUGGUGGUUGGAAAGUUUCGGCGGUUGGGGAUGGACUCGCGGCUUAUCAGCUUGUUGGUGGGGUAGUGGCUUACCAAGGCUUUGACGGGUAGCCGGCCUGAGAGGGUUACCGGGCACAUUGGGACUGAGAGACGGCCCAGACGCGUACGGGAGGCAGUAGGGGAGAAUAUUGCAAAACGGGCGGAAGUGUGAGGCGAAGACGCCGGGUGCGGGAUGACGGGCUUCGGGUUGUAAACCGCUUUCGCCUGUGACGAAGCGUGAGUGACGGUAAUGGGUAAAGAAGCAACGGCUAACUACGUG